Long non-coding RNA from Mobula hypostoma (lesser devil ray), 657 nucleotides. RefSeq lists it as uncharacterized. NCBI's taxonomy places the organism in Eukaryota, Metazoa, Chordata, Chondrichthyes, Myliobatiformes, Myliobatidae. The record is from RefSeq and is a predicted model, not a curated record. The transcript has 3 exons.
UCUAGUUCUAUAAAGUUCUGUGAACACUUUGAAGUCUUAUCUUUGUAUGAGUUUGGGAAUGUUUCUUAAAGAGACAGACUUAAUCCUCAGUUAAUCUACAUUUAGGAGCCAGCAGACUCUGCCAACUGUGCCAUAGUCACUUCCUGAAGCAGACUUCAGAUUCAGAUUCAGAAUAACCUGUCACAGGAAUUUAUACGUUCUGCCCGUAAACUUCGUGGGUAUCCUCCAGGUGCUCUGGUUUCCUCCCACAGUCCAAAGAUGUAGUGGGAAGAAGAUCACUCUCACUGGAGGCUGGAACUACGCAGAGGUCUAAAAAGAGGAGAAGAGAAGCUGAGGCUGGCUGCUGAAGAAAAGUGCUCUCAUCGGAAAAACAGCACAAGACAACGCUGGAGGACAGCGCCUUCAAAUGCAGUCGCUGCAGCCGCGACUGUCACUCCCGUGUGGGCCUCUACAGCCACAACAGACGCUGCUCUAACACAGACUGAAGCAAGACUUUCCAGGCGCAGAUCCGUGGUCUCGCGAGACUAACGGAUGCCACCACUAGCACCGCCAUUUUGUUUUAUGUGCUGUGCGUGAUGUAUGUAUUAUGAGUGCUCUAUGGUGCAGAGAAACACUGUUUUGUUUGGUUGUAUAUAGUCAGAUGACAUUAAACUUGAA